UACUUAGCAUUUUUUUUUUUUUUUACUUAGACCUUUUGAAUUUGCUUUUAAUUUAUACCCCUGGCCUUGUUCUCUUGACCAAAUAAAAGCCCUAAGAGAGCUUCCACUGCCAGCAGCCUUCCAAUUUGCUCUGUUCCCCCUUGGGCCCUGUUGAUUGGGCCCAGUGAUCACCUAAAAAGAGUGCAAAGAGUCAGGAAGGCUUGUGGGUUCAGUCUUUCUGUGCUAACACCAGGCCACAUCCAGGCCUGAUGUACUAACUGAUCUCCAGUUCAUUCCUUUUGCAAUUUUUGGCCUUGAUUCAUAGUUCCUGAUUCUUGAUUGGCUCUGAAAUCCUCCCCAUUUUCAAAAGGGAUGCAGUCAAGCAGGCCAAAGCGCUCCAUGUUAGCUAACAAAUGUUUGCAAAUCAUAAUAAUGUAGGAAGAGAACCAUAAACUAAAUGAACAACAGGCAUUAGCCCUCAUGCUGUCACAUAAGCAUUCCUCAAAAUAUAAUCAUGCUUCUAAACAUGGGCUGGCAAUUCAGGAAAGGGCCACUGAAAAUAUUAGCCUCGUUCUUUUCUCUGUAGAGUGAGCACAGACUAUUCCUAAACCACAUUGCAGUAUGCCAACAUUGUAAAUUAAUGCCUGAUUGGUUACCUAGAAGUAAGACAAUCUUACUUUUAGGCAUCUAGAACACUGAGAAAUCCAGGAUGGACACUUAACACUACCAAAGAUUGAUCUAUUUUGGGUAAGUAUACUUCUGAUCUCUUUUUGAGGACUGUAUUAGUCCAUUUUCACACUGCUAUAAAGAACUGCCUGAGGCUGGGUAAAUUAUAAAGGAAAGAGGUUUCAUUGACUCAGAGUUCUGCAUGGCUGGGGAGGCCUCAGGAAACUUAACAGUUAUGGCAGAAGGCAAGGGAGAAGCAGGUACCUUCUUUACAAGGCGGCAGAAGAGACAGAGAGGGCAGGGGAAACUGCCAUUUUUAAGCUAUCAGAUCUUGUCAGAACUCCGUCACUAUCACGAGAAGAGCAUGAGGGAAACUGCCCCCAUGACCCAAUCACCUCCCACCAUCCCCCGCUCAACACGUGGGGAUGACAAUUCAAGAUGGAAUUGUGUGGGGACACAGAGCCAAACCAUAUCAAGUACCUACAAAAUUAUGGUGACUCUUCACUAAUUUGCAAACUGAUUAUCUGCAAAUCUUAAAUAGGGAAUAAAACACAAAAAUAUCAUUAUCCCUCCAGAACUGAGGACGCAAAUUGGAUUUAGAAGACUUAGCUUUGACACCUAGAUAUGUUUUCAUUGAUUUGACCUAACUUGAUCUCAGUUUCUCUUUUAUAGAGUUAGUUCUUUAGAUCAGAGGUCCCCAACCCCAGGACUGCGGACUGCCACUGGUCUUUGGCCUGUCAGGCACCCGGCCACACAGCUGGAGUGUGAAAAAAAAGGAAAAAACUGAAAAUCUCAAGAGGAUUCCAGGAAAUCAAAACAAUGAAUUAUUGAAUCAAGAAUUUGAAAGAGAAAAUAGAUGCAUACUGAAAAAAGAAUUUUGUUUAGUGAGAUAGAUGUAAUAAUGAAGGCAUGUUGAUAACGGGGGAGCUAUGUAUAUAUGAGGGGAGGGAUAUAUUGGAAAUCUCUGUAUCUUCCUCUCAAUCUUGCUGUGAUCCUAAAACUGCUCUAAAAAAUAUUUUGAGAAGGAAUAAUGAUGUGGUAAACAUGUUCUGUUAUUUAAAAAGAGAGACUUUUCAUAGCCGCCUCCCUCCCCCUCUACACACACACAGAGUCCUGUCCGUCUUCAUUCCCUUACUCAAUAAUUUGUACAGACACAGCCACUGGGCUCCAGUAAUCCUAAAGUUUCUAGAAAAUCAAGCACAGAAAAAGGUUAAAACCCUGAGGGAAUAAAAGAAUUCCUUUGCAUCCAUUGCAUUUCUCAGGAAGUGAACUAACAAAUUCACUGCUUUUAAAUGAGGAAAUUUUCUCAGUGAAAUUGAUUCCAAACCUUCGUUAGGUCAACUGUUCCCAGAUUUCUUAGCUGAUGCCUGAUCUGACUAUUCCUUAUCUUUAGUACAGAAACCAAGGUGAAUGACCUUUAAAAAACAUAUUAGACUGUUGACGUGUCUUCUAUGUUGUACUCUAGGUAAAAACGAUAAACCAGGAAAAAGAAAGUAAAAUUCAACCUUAGGCUCAUGGAUCCAGAGUGGAUAAUUAUGAGUCUGUAGUAUCUACAUGCAUGUGAUGAGGUUCAAGGACAAUAACCAUAAAGCAAAGACUUAAAAGGUUUUAUCAUUAGAAUAAUUGUAAUUCACUUGAUCUCUCAAUGUAACAAUACUUCGGUCUACUGUCUCAAGCCAUUAUUAUGUCUUACACUCAGCAUAUUGGUUUGUCUACCAUUAAAUAUUUAUUUUCUACAGUGCUUUCUGGAAGGCAAACAAAGCAGCCACUCUGCUACUUUAUAUUGAUUCCUGAGUUGUCCUUCGGAAACGCUUUCAGGAAGUUUAAUAGGUUUGAAAGAUAUUUAGACCUGUGACUGGCAAAUAUACUUCCUUCUUUUUAUUUCAAUAAGAGAGUACUAGAACUUAGAUCUUUAUUGUUUAAUCUAGUCAGUGCUGUCAUUGUCAAUCAAGUUCUCAAAUGACACUUGUCCUGAGCUGUAACUGAUCUAUUCAGAAGAAUAUGAAAAUAGUAAAGACGGCAACUAUGCAUGUUUUUACCGGACACGAUUUUAAUUGCUUUAAAAUGAAGUUAUGCAACCAAUGAGGAAUGGAGCUUUUGGAGUGGCCUGAAGCUAAAGGUUUCAGGUGUAUUUUUGCUUUCUUUGAAGAAAGAACCAAAUCAUUUUAUUUAAUAAAAAGGCCAUUUAUCAAGAAUUUCUUAAAGCUGUUUUAAACCUGAGUUUGCAAUUUAUAGAAUAUGUUCAAGCAGCCUCAGUGCCCUUUUAAUUGGAUGGUUUUCACAGAUUUAUCCAAUUUGAGAUUUAUCCAGUGAGAAUUCCCUUUGUUCAAGUAUAUAUGUCUUCUCUUCCAUAAAGCAGAUUCAAAUGAAAGAGUGCAAUCUGAUAUAUCAGACAUGUCAGUUAUACAUUUGAUGUGGUAAAUUUAUAAGAGAGGCCAAUUAUUGUUAUGAAAAAAUACAAUGAAAUACAUGAUAGUCAUUUACUGUUUUUAUAACUAAUCUAAAAGUAUUUACUAAAAAGAAACUAUUUCUUUUCAUAUGUACUUUACUUUUUACUUUAACCCUUCAUAUGUCCUUUAAAUAAAGAGAAGAAAAAAAGUCA
This 3247-nucleotide long non-coding RNA is filed under the name Homo sapiens (human). RNAcentral's name for it is "MTUS1 divergent transcript, transcript variant 3 (MTUS1-DT)". The record is from RNAcentral. Lineage: Eukaryota; Metazoa; Chordata; Mammalia; Primates; Hominidae.